This 237-nucleotide ribosomal RNA is filed under the name uncultured bacterium. RNAcentral describes it as "partial 16S ribosomal RNA". It matches the Rfam family "Bacterial small subunit ribosomal RNA", at positions 120 to 354 of the family's 1533-position model. The record is from RNAcentral.
AGUAACCUGCCUUGGAGUGGGGAAGUAACAGCUGGAAACAAGCUGCUAAUACCGCAUAAUAUAUCUGUGUCGCAUGGCACUGGAUAUCAAAGAUUUAUCGCUCUGAGAUGGACUCGCGUCUGAUUAGCUGGUUGGCGGGGUAACGGCCCACCAAGGCGACGAUCAGUAGCCGGACUGAGAGGUUGGCCGGCCACAUUGGGACUGAGACACGGCCCAGACUCCUACGGAAGGCAGCAG